Molecule: transfer RNA, 59 nt
Filed under: Odontesthes argentinensis
Lineage: Eukaryota; Metazoa; Chordata; Actinopteri; Atheriniformes; Atherinopsidae
Description: partial tRNA-Gln
Source: RNAcentral
GUAGUGGAAGCACUAAGAGUUUUGAUCUCUUCAGGCAGGGUUCGAGUCCCUUCUUUCUA